RNAcentral lists this ribosomal RNA (497 nucleotides) under uncultured bacterium. RNAcentral describes it as "partial 16S ribosomal RNA". It matches the Rfam family "Bacterial small subunit ribosomal RNA", at positions 28 to 507 of the family's 1533-position model. The record is from RNAcentral.
GAUGAACGCUGGCGGCGUGCCUAAUACAUGCAAGUCGAGCGAACAGACGAGGAGCUUGCUCCUCUGACGUUAGCGGCGGACGGGUGAGUAACACGUGGAUAACCUACCUAUAAGACUGGGAUAACUUCGGGAAACCGGAGCUAAUACCGGAUAAUAUAUUGAACCGCAUGGUUCAAUAGUGAAAGACGGUUUUGCUGUCACUUAUAGAUGGAUCCGCGCCGCAUUAGCUAGUUGGUAAGGUAACGGCUUACCAAGGCAACGAUGCGUAGCCGACCUGAGAGGGUGGUCGCCCACCCUGGAGCUGGGACACGGUCCAGACUCCUACGGGAGGCCGCAGUAGGGAAUCUUCCGCAAUGGGCGAAAGCCUGACGGAGCAACGCCGCGUGAGUGAUGAAGGUCUUCGGAUCGUAAAGCUCUGUUAUUAGGGAAGAACAAAUGUGUAAGUAACUAUGCACGUCUUGACGGUACCUGGUCAGAAAGCCACGGCUAACUACGUG